RNAcentral lists this ribosomal RNA (253 nucleotides) under uncultured Actinomycetales bacterium. RNAcentral describes it as "partial 16S ribosomal RNA". It matches the Rfam family "Bacterial small subunit ribosomal RNA", at positions 80 to 334 of the family's 1533-position model. Lineage: Bacteria; Bacillati; Actinomycetota; Actinomycetes; Actinomycetales. The record is from RNAcentral.
UUGUGGGGUGCUCGAGUGGCGAACGGGUGAGUAACACGUGAGUAACCUGCCCUUGACUUUGGGAUAACUUCAGGAAACUGGGGCUAAUACCGGAUAGGAGCUCCUGCUGCAUGGUGGGGGUUGGAAAGUUUCGGCGGUUGGGGAUAGACUCGCGGCUUAUCAGCUUGUUGGUGGGGUAGUGGCUUACCAAGGCUUUGACGGGUAGCCGGCCUGAGAGGGUGACCGGCCACAUUGGGACUGAGAUACGGCCCAG